This 321-nucleotide ribosomal RNA is filed under the name Triticum aestivum (bread wheat). RNAcentral's name for it is "partial small subunit ribosomal RNA". Lineage: Eukaryota; Viridiplantae; Streptophyta; Magnoliopsida; Poales; Poaceae. The record is from RNAcentral.
AUGAAGCAACAAAAAGGAAGGGGAUCCCCCGAAAGGCCAGGAAAUAGAAGAUUCGAGAAAAGGAACAGCGAUGAGCGCCGCGCGGACUGGAGGAGGAUGCACGGCGAGUCGAGUAGGGCUCGGGGCCUGGCGGAGAGCGGGGCGGGUUUCCGGCGGCGGGAGGAGGGUUUCUUGGGGGAGGGAGGGAGGGGGAAUGGGCGGUGGGUUUGGGGCAUUGAAGACUUCGAUUUGGGGAGGGAGAAGAGGAGAUGGAAAAUGAGGGAGAAUUUUUGGAGAAAAGGAGUGACUUCACUGCCCGCGUCGCCUCCCUCCCUCUGCUGA